This 31199-nucleotide long non-coding RNA is filed under the name Durio zibethinus. RNAcentral describes it as "long non-coding RNA (DZIB_LNC000048)". Lineage: Eukaryota; Viridiplantae; Streptophyta; Magnoliopsida; Malvales; Malvaceae. The record is from RNAcentral.
GUUCAUUCCAUGUCUAAGCAUACGUAGUUCAUUCGAUUUUGAGCCACGGUGCACAUGCUUGGCUCCAGCAUGUGCUGGUGCCGCAUUUUUUUCACUCGGGACAGCAUCGCCGGAGCAUCGCCAGAGCAUCGCCGGAGUACCGUCGGAGAACCUGACCGGCGGCAUUGGGGUUCCGGCGAUUGGGAGGGGGGCCGGGGGGGUGUGCGCACAUGAUGUGCGAUGGGUGCUGGUACUUGGCCCUUGUAUUGGCCCCCUAUCCCUCAUCAAACCUCUGAGAACUCACACCCCCUUAAAGAGCAUUUGAGAUUUUACAGGUUUGCUGCCAGUAGCCGUUCAAGUGUCUGAAAUGGGGACACUUUUUUCAAACGGUCACGAAAUCUUCUCCGGUUCGAGUUUUUAGCUGAAUUUUUUUGUGCAUGCCAACAAAAAUAGAAGGAUCACGUCCACAAAAUUUGGGGCCAAAACUCCUUCUAAAAAAAUUCUAAAAAAUCCCGAACCGCAAAAAGUUUCGAAAAUCGUGAAAAAUAGAAAACGAGUCAUCUUCCAACGAAACUUCACGUGAAGGCUUAGGGGACCAUUGUAUGAAUUUACAAGCCAUAAAAAUGGCAUUGGCACGGCAGAAAUUUGAAGAUGUGCCUAAACCCACCUAGCACCCGAUCGAUCCCCGGCUUGCGCAUCCUGCCUCUCCGGCCGGCUGAGCGCCCGCACGCUCGUUCCGUGGGUUGACUUAGCCAUACGGAGUUCAUUCCAUGUCUAAGCCCCAGUCGGACCGAGGGUCGCGGCAGCUGGACCGGCAGCGGGAUUGGCAGCAGCACGCGGGGGGACCGGGCCGAUCCCCGGCUUGCGCAUUAUGCCCCUCCAGUCGACUGAGCGCCCGCACGCUCGUUUCGUGGGUUGACUUAGGCAUACGGAGUUCAUUCCCGAUCUAAGCAUACGGAGCUCAUUCUCGGUCUAAGAUCGGACCGACAGCGGGAUUGGCAGCAGCACGCGGGGGGGACCGGAUCGGUCUCCGGCUUGCGCAUUAUGCCCCUCCGGCCGGCUGAGCGCCCGCACGCUCGUUCCGUUGGUUGACUUAGGCACACGGAGUUCAUUCCAUGUCUAAGCCCCGGUCGGACCGAGGGUUGCGGCAGCGAGACCGGUAACACGCAGAGGGGGACGGGCCGAUCCCCGGCUUGUGCAUUACGCCUCUCUGACUGGCUCAGCACCCGAACGUUCAUUUUGUGGGUUGACUUAGGCAUACGGAGUUCAUUCCCAGUCUAAGAUUGGAUCGGACCGAGGGUUGCGGAGUAGGAUCGACAGCACGUAGGGGGGACUGGGUUGGUCCCUGGCUUGCGCAUUCUGCCUCUCCGACCGGCUGAUUACCUGCACGCUCGUUUCGUGAGUUGGCUUAGGCAUACGGAGUUCAUUCCAUGCCUAAGCAUACGGAGUUCAUUCCCAGUCUAAGAUCGAACCGGACCAAGGCUUGCGGCAGUAGGACCAGCAACAGGAUCGGCAGUACGUAGAGGGACCGGACUGAUCCCCGGCUUGUGCAUUCUGCCUCUCUAGCCGGUUGAGCACCCGCACACUCUUUUCGUGGGUUGACUUAGGCAUACGAAGUUCAUCCUCGGUCUAAGCAUACGGAGUUCAUUCCUAAUCUAAGAUCAGACCAGACCGAGGGUUGCGGUAGCAUGCAGGGGGGAUCGGGCCGAUCCCCGACUUGUGCAUUCUGCCUCUUCGGCUGGUCGAGAGCCCACACACCCGUUUUCUGGGUUGGCAUAAGCUUAGGGAGUUCAUUCCAUGUCUAAGCCCCAGCCGAACUGAGGGUUGUGGCAGCGGGACCGACAACACACAAAGAGGGACCGAGCCGAUCCCCGACUUGCGCAUUAUGCUUCUCCGGUCGGCUCAAUGCCCGAAUGCUCGUUUUGUGGGUUGACUUAAGCGUACGGAGUUCAUUCCCAGUCUAAGAUCAGACUGGACCGAGGGUUGCGGCAACAGGAUCACAGCAUGCAGGAGGGAUCGGGUCGGUCCCCAGCUUACAUAUUCUGCCUCUCCGGUUGGCUGAGGGCCCGCACGCUCGUUCUAUGAGUUGGCUUAGGCAUACAGAGUUCAUUCCAUGUCUAAGCAUACGGAGUUCAUUCCCAGUCUAAGAUCGGACAGGACCGAGGCUUGCGAUAGCAGGACCAACAGCAGGAUCGAUAGCACGCAGGGAGGAUCGGGCAGAUCCUCAGCUUGCGCAUUCUACCACUCCAACCAGUUGAGCGCCCGCACGCUCGUUUCAUGGGUUCACUUAGUCAUACAGAGUUCAUCUCCAGUCUAAGCAUACAGAGUUCAUUCCCAGUUUAAGAUCAAACUGGAUCGAGGGUUGUGGCAGCAGGAUCAACAGCACGCAAGGGGGACCAGGUUGAUCCCUGGCUUACGCAUUCUGCCUCUCCGGUCGGUUGAGCGCCCGCACGCCUGUUUCGAGACCCCACACCCCCUUAAAGAGCAUUUGAGAUUUUAUAGGUUUGCUGCCAGUAGCCAUUAAAGUGUCUGAAAUGGGGACACUUUUUUCAAACGGUCACAAAAUCUUCUCCACUUCAAGUUUUUAGCUGAAUUGUUUUGUGCAUGCCAACAAAAAUACAAGGAUCACCUCUACCAAAUUUACGGACAAAAAUCUUUCUAAAAAAAUUUUAAAAAAUCUGAAACCGUAAAAAAGUUUCAAAAAUUAUGAAAAAUAGAAAACGGGUCGUCUUGCCAUGAAACUUCACAUGAAGGUGUAGGGGACCAUUGUAUGAAUUUACAAGCCAUAAAAAUGGCAUUGGCAUGGCAGAAAUAUGAAGAUAUGCUUGAACGCACCUACCACCCGUUCGAUCCCCGGCUUACGCAUCCUGCCUCUCUGGUCGUCUAAGCGUUCGCACGCUCGUUUCAUGGGUUGACUUAGGCAUACGGAGUUCAUCCCCAGUCUAAGCAUACGAGUUGAUUCCCAUUCUAAGAUCGGACCGGACCGAGGGUUGCGGCAGCAGGAUCGAUAGCGCAUUCUGCCUCUUCGACCGACUGAGCGCCCUCACGCCCAUUUUGUGGGUUGGCUUAGGCAUAGGGAUUUCAUUCCAUGUCUAAGCCGCAACUAGAUUGAGGGUUGUGGCAGCGGGACUGACAGCAUGUAGAGGGGGAUCAGGCUGAUCCCUGACUUGCGCAUUAUGGCUUUUCGAUCGGCUCAGUGCCCGUACGCUCGUUCCAUGGGUUGACUUAGGCAUACAGAGUUCAUUCCCAGUCUAAGAUCAGACCGGACCAAGGGUUGGCACAGCAGGAUCGACAGCACAUUGGGGGGAUCAGGUCGGUCCUCGAUUUGUGCUUUUUGCCUCUCCGAUCGGUUGAGCGCCCUCAUCCUCGUUUUAUGGGUUAACUUAGGCAUACGAGGUUCAUUCCAUGUCUAAGCAUAUGGAGUUCAUUCCCAAUCUAAGAUCGGACUAGACCGAGGGUUAUGGUAGCAAGACCAGCAGCAGGAUUGGCAGCACGCAGGGGGGACUGAGUCGAUCCCCGGCUUGCGCAUUCUACUCUCUGGCCGGCUGAGUGCUCGCAUGCUCAUUUCGUGGGUUGGCUUAGGCAUACAGAGUUCAUUCCAUGUCUAAGCCCUAGUCGGAUCUAGGGUUGUGGUAGCAGGACCGACAGCGGGAUCGACAGCACGCAGAGGGGGAGCGCCUAUACGCUCGUUUCGUUGGUUGACUUAGGCAUACGGAGUUCAUCCCCAGUCUAAGCAUACGGACUUCAUUCCUAGUCUAAGAUCGGACCGGACCGAGGGUUACGGCAGCAGGAUCGAUAGCACAUAGGGGGGAUCGGGCCGAACCCUAACUUGCGCAUUCUGCCUCUCCGACCGACUGAGCACCCGCAAGCCCGUUUCGUGGGUUGGCUUAGGCAUAGGGAGUUUAUUCCACGUUUAAGCCCCAGUCGGACCGAGGGUUGUGGCAGCAAGACCGACAGCUUGCAAAAGGGGAUCGGGCCGAUCCCCGACUUGCGCAUUAUGCCGCUUCGGCUGGCUCAGCACCCGCACGCUCGUUUUGUGGGUUGACUUAGGCAUACGGAGUUCAUUCCCAGUCUAAGAUUGGACCGAACCGAGGGUUGCGACAGUAGGAUCGGUAGCACGUAAGGUGGGAUCGGGCCGAUCCCCGGCUUGCACAUUCUGCCUCUCCGACCGACUGAGUGCCCGCACGCAUGUUUCAUGGGUUGGCUUAGGCAUAUAGACUUCAUUCCAUGUCUUAGCAUACGGAGUUCAUUCCCAGUCUAAGAUCAGAUCAGACCGAGGGUUGGGCAGCAGGACCAGCAGGAAGAUCGACAGCACGUAGGGGGGACCGGGUCGAUCCCCGACUUACGCAUUCUGCCUUUCCAACCGGCUGAGCGCCCGCACGCUCGUUUCAUGGGUUGGCUUAGGCAUACGAAGUUCAUUCCAUGUCUAAGCCCCAGCCAGACCGAUGGUUGUGGCAGCAGGAUAGACAGCAAGCAGAGAGGGACCAGGUUGAUCCCCGACUUACGUAUUAUGCCUCUCCGCCGGCUCAGUGCCGGUACGCUCCUUUUAUGGGUUGACUUAGGCAUACGGAGUUCAUCCCCAGUCUAAGCAUACAGAGUUCAUUCCCAGUCUAAGAUCAGACCGGACCAAGGGUUGCGGCAGUAGGAUCGACAGCACGCAGGAGGGAUCGGGCCGAUCCCCCACUUGCGCAUUCUAUCUCUCCGGCCGACUGAGCGCCCAUACGCUCGUUUCGUGGGUUGGCUUAGGCAUACGGAGUUCAUUCCAUGUCUAAGCAUACGGAGUUCAUUCCCAAUCUAAGAUUUUGAGCCACGGUGCACAUGCUGGGCUCGGGCAUGUGCUGGUGCCUCAUUUUUUUCGCCUAGGGCACCAUCGUCGGAGCAUCGUCGGAGAGCCUAACCGUUGGCAUUGAGGGUUCCCGCAAUUGGGGGGGCCGGGGGGUGUGCACACAUUAUGUGCAAUGGGUGCCGGUACUUGGCCCUUAUAUUGGCCCCCUAUCCCUCAUCAAACCUCAAGAACUCACAUCCCCUUAAAGAGCAUUUGAUAUUUUAUAGGUUUACUGCCAGUAGCCAUUAAAGUGUCUGAAAUGGGGACACAUUUUUCAAACGAUCACAAAAUCUUCGCCACUUUGAGUUUUCAGCUGAAUUUUUUUGUGCAUGCCAACAAAAAUACAAGGAUCACCUCUACCAAAUUUGGGGACAAAACUCUUUCUAAAAAAAUUUUAAAAAAUCCCGAACCGUAAAAAGUUUUGAAAAUCAUGAAAAAUAGAAAACGGGUUGUCUUGACACGAAACUUCACAUGAAGGCUUAGGGGACCAUUGUAUGAAUUUUAAAGCCAUAAAAAUGGUAUUGGCAUCGCAGAAAUAUGAAGAUGUGCUUGAACCCACCUACCACCCGUUCGAUCCCCGGCUUGUGCAUCCUGCCUCUCUGGUCGGCUGAGCGCCCUCAUGCUCGUUUCAUGGGUUGACUUAGGCAUAUGGAGUUUAUCCCCAGUCUAAGCAUACAGAGUUCAUUCCCAAUCUAAGAUCAGAUCGGACCGAGGGUUACGGCAGCAGGAUCAACAGCACACGGGGGGACUGGGCCAAUCCCCAGUUUACGUAUUCUGCCUACCCGACCGGCUGAGUGCCUGCACGCCCGUUUCGUGGGUUGGCUUAGGCAUAGGGAGUUCAUUCCAUGUCUAAGCCCCAGCCGGACCGAGGGUUGUGGCAGCGAGACCGGCAGCACGUGGAGGGGGACCGGGCUAAUCCCCAACUUGCGCAUUAUGCCUCUCUGGCCUGCUUAGCGCCUGCACGCUCGUUUCGUGGGUUGACUUUGGCAUACAGAGUUCAUUCCCAGUCUAAGAUUGGACUAGACCGAGGGCUACGGCAGCAAGAUCGAUAGCACGCAGGGGGGACCGGGCCGAUCCCGGCUUGUGCAUUCUGCCUCUCUGGCCGGUUGAGCGCCCACACGCUCAUUUCGUGACUUCAUUCCAUGUCUAAGCAUACAGAGUUCAUUCCCAGUAUAAGAUUUUGAGCCAGGGUGCACAUGCUGGGCUCUGGCAUGUGCUGGUGCUACAUUUUUUUCGCCCGGGGCACCAUCAUCGGAGCAUCGCCGGAGAGCCUAACCGACGGCAUUGGGGGUUCCGGCGAUUGGGGGGCCGGGGGGGUGUGCGCACAUGAUGUGCGAUGGGUUCUGGUCCUUGGCCCUUAUAUUGGCCCCCUAUCCCUCAUCAAACCUCCAGAACUCACACCCCCUUAAAGAGCAUUUGAGAUUUUAUAGGUUUCCUACCAAUAGCCAUUAAAGUGUCUGAAAUGGGGACACUUUUUUCAAACGGUCACAAAAUCUUCUCCACUUCGUGUUUUUAGCUAAAUUUUUUUGUGCAUGCCAAAAAAAAGACAAGGAUCACCUCUUCCAAUUUUAGGGAUAAAACUCUCUCUAAAAAAAUUUUAAAACAUCCCGAACCAUAAAAAGUUUUAAAAAUCGUGAAAAAUAGAAAACGAGUCGUCUUGCCAUGAAACUUCACAUGAAGGCUUAGGGGACCAUUGUAUGAAUUUACAAGUGAUAAAAAUGGCAAUUGCAUGGCAGAAAUAUGAAGAUGUGCUUGAACCCACCUACCACUCGUUCGAUCCCCGGCUUUCGCAUCUUGCCUCUCUGGUCGGCUGAACGCCUGCACGUUCGUUUCGGGGGUUGACUUAGGAAUAUGAAGUUCAUCCACAGUCUAAGCAUACAGAGUUCAUUCCCAGUCUAAGCAUACAGAGUUCAUUCCCAAUCUAAGAUCGGACCGGACCGAGGGUUGCGGCAGCAAGAUUGACAGCACGCAGGGGGGACCCGGCCGAUCCCCGGCUUGCGCAUUCUGCCUUUCCGGCCGGUUGAGCGCCCAUACACCCGUUUCAUGGGUUGGCUUAGGCAUAGGGAGUUCAUUCCAUGUCUAAGCCCCAACCGGACCGAGGGUUGUGGCAGCAAGACCGACACCACGCAGAGAGGGAUCAGGCCGAUCCUCGGCUUGUGCAUUUUGCCUCUCUGGUCGGUUGAGCGUCCGCACGCUCGUUUCAUGGGUUGACUUAGGCAUACCGAGUUCAUUCCUAGCCUAAGAUUGAAUCGGACCGAGGGUUGCGAUAGCAAGAUCGACAACACGUAGGGGGGACCGAGCCAAUCCCCGUCUUGCACAUUCUGCCUCUUCGAUCGGCUGAGUGCCCGCACGCUCGUUUCGUGUGUUGGCUUAGGCAUAGUUCAUUCCAUGUCUAAGCAUACGGAGUUCAUUCCCAGUCUAAGAUCAGACCAGACUGAGGGUUUCGGCAAUAGGACCAGCAGCAAGAUCUGCAGCACGCAGGGGGGGAUCGGGCUGAUCCCCGGCUUGUGCAUUCUGCCUCUUCGCCCGACUGAGCGCCCGUACACUCGUUUCAUGGGUUGGCUUAGGCAUACGAAGUUCAUUCCAUGUCUAAGCCCUAGCCGGAUCGAGGGUUGUGGCAGCAGGACUGGCAGCAGGAUCGACAGCACGCAAAAGGGGACCAGGCAGAUCCUCGGCUUACGCAUUAUGCCUCUCCGGCCGGCUGAGUGCGCGCACGCUCGUUUCGUGGGUUGACUUAGCCACACGGAGUUCAUCCCCAAUCUAAGCAUAUGUAGUUCAUUCCUAGUCUAAGAUCGGGCCGAACUGAGGGUUACAGCAGUAGGUUCGGCAGCACGCAUGGGGGAUUAGGCCGAUCCCUGGCUUACGGAUUCUGGCUCUCCGGCUGGUUGAGCACCCGCACGCCCGUUUCAUGGUUGGCUUAGACAUAGGGAGUUCAUUCCAUGUCUAAGCCCCAACCAGAUCGAGGGUUGUGGCAGCGGGACUGAUAGCACGCAGGGGGGACCGGGUCGAUCCCUGGCUUGUGCAUUAUGCCUCUUUGAUCGACUCAGCACCCGCACGCUCGUUUCGUGGGUUGACUUAUGCAUACAGAGUUAAUUCUCAGUCUAAGAUUGGACCGGACAGAGGGUUAUGGCAGCAGGAUCGACAGCACGCAGGGGGGACCGGGUCGAUCCCCAGCUUACGCAUUCUACCUCUCUGAUCGGCUGAGCACCCGCACGCCCGUUUCGUGGGUUGCCUUAGGUAUAGGGAGUUGAUUCCAUGUCUAAGCCCCAGCCAGAUCGAGGGUUGUGGUAGCGGGACCGGUAGCAUGCAGAGGGGGACCAAGCCGAUCCCCAGCUUGCACAUUAUGCCUCUUCGACUGGCUCAGUGCUCGUACGCUCAUUUCGUGGUUUGACUUAUGCAUAUGGAGUUCAUUUCCAGUCUAAGAUCAGAUCGGACUGAGGGUUGCGGUAGCAGGAUCGGUAGCACGUAGGGGGGAUCGGGUCGAUCCCCGUCUUGUGCAUUCUGCCUCUCCGGUCGGUUGAGCACCUGCACGCCCAUUUCAUGGGUUGGCUUAGGCAUAGGGAGUUCAUUCCAUGUCUAAUCCCUAGCCAGAUCGAUGGUUGUGGCAGCGAGACCAGCAGCACACAGAGGCAGACCAGGCCAAUCCCCGGCUUGCGCAUUAUGCCUCUUCGACCGACUCAGUGCCCGCAGGCUCGUUUCAUGGGUUGACUUAUGCAUAUGAUGUUCUUUCCUAGUCCAAGAUCAGAUCAGACUGAGGGUUUUGGCAAUAGGAUCGACAGCACUCACGGGGGAUCGGGCUGAUCCCCAGCUUGUGCAUUCUACCUCUCCGGCCGACUGAGCGCCCGUACGCUCGUUUCAUGGGUUGGCUUAGGCAUACGGAGUUCAUUCCAUGUCUAAGCAUACGGAGUUCAUUCCCAAUCUAAUAUUUUGAGCCACGGUGCACAUGCUGGGCUCGGCCAUGUGCUGGUGCCUCAUUUUUUUCGCCCAGGGCACCAUCGUCGGAGCCUAACCGGUGGCAUUGGGGGUUCCGACGAUUGGGGGUCCGGGGGGUGUGCACACAUGAUGUGCGAUGGGUGCUGGUACUUGGCCCUUAUAUUGGCCCCCUAUCCUUCUUCAAACCUUAAGAACUCACACCCCUUUAAAGAGCAUUUGAGAUUUUAUAGGUUUGCUGCCAGUAGCCAUUAAAGUGUCUGAAAUGGGGACACAUUUUUCAAACGGUCACAAAAUCUUCUCCACUUCGAGCUUUUAGCUGAAUUUUUUUGUGCAUGCCAACAAAAAUACAAGGAUCACCUCUACUAAAUUUGGGGACAAAAAUCUUUCUAAAAAAAUUUUAAAAAAUCCCGAACCACAAAAAGUUUUGAAAAUCAUGAAAAAUAGAAAACAGGUUGUCUUGCCACGAAACUUCACAUGAAUGCUUAGGGGACCAUUGUAUGAAUUUAAAAGCCAUAAAAAUGGUAUUGGCAUGGCAGAAAUAUGAAGAUGUGUUUGAACCCACCUACCACCCGUUCGAUCCCCAGCUUGCGCAUCCUGCCUCUCUGGUCGACUGAGCGCCCGCACGCUCGUUUCGUGGGUUGACUUAGGCAUACGGAGUUUAUCCCCAAUCUAAGCAUACAGAGUUCAUUCCCAAUCUAAGAUCAGACCAGACCGAGGGUUGCAGCAGCAGGAUCGACAGCACGCAGAGGGGACCGGGCCAAUCCCCGGCUUGCGCAUUCUGCCUACCCGACCGGCUGAGCGCCUGCACGCCCGUUUCGUGGGUUGGCUUAGGCAUAGGGAGUUCAUUCCAUGUCUAAGCCCCAGCCGGACCGAGGGUUGUGGCAGCGGGACUGACAGCACGUGGUGGGGGACCGAGCUAAUCCCCGGCUUGCGCAUUAUGCCUCUCUGGCCGGCUCAGUGCUUGCACGCUCAUUUCGUGGGUUGACUUAGGCAUACGGAGUUCAUUCCCAGUCUAAGAUUGGACCAGACCGAGGGCUGUGGCAGCAAGAUCGAUAGCAUGCAGGGGGGAUUGGGCCGAUCCCCGACUUGUGCAUUCUGCCUCUCUGGCCGAUUGAGCGCCCACACGCUCAUUUCGUGAGUUCAUUCCAUGUCUAAGCAUACGGAGUUGAUGCCAACAAAAAUCUUCUCCACAAAAUCUUCUCCACUUCGAGUUUUUAGCUAAAUUUUUUUGUCCAUGCCAACAAAAAUACAAGCAUCACCUCUACCAAAUAUGGGGACAAAACUCUUUCUAAAAAAAUUUUAAAAAAUCUCGAACAGCAAAAAGUUUUAAAAAUCAUGAAAAAUAGAAAAUGGGUCGUCUUGCCAGGAAACUUCACAUGAAGGCUUAGGGGACCAUUGUAUGAAUUUAAAAGCCAUAAAAAUGGCAUUGGCAGGGUAGAAAUAUGAAGAUGUCCUUGAACCCACCAACCACCCGUUCGAUCCCGGCUUACGCAUCCUGCCUCUCUGGUCGACUGAGCGUCCGUACGCUCGUUUCGUGGGUGGACUUAGGCAUACGGAGUUCAUCCCUAAUCUAAGCCUAUAGAGUUCAUUCCUAAUCUAAGAUCGGAUCAGAUUGACGGUUGCGGCAGCAGGAUCGGCAGCACGCAGGGGGGAUCGGACCGAUCCCCGGCUUGCGCAUUCCGCCUCUCCGGGCGGCUGAGUGCCCGCACGCCCGUUUCAUGGGUUGGCUUAGGCAUAGGGAGUUCAUUCCAUGUCUAAGCCCCAGUCGGACCGAAGGUUAUGGCAGUGGGACCGGCAGCACGAAGCGAGGGACCGGGCCGAUCCCUGGCUUGUGCUUUAUGCCUCUCCGAUCGGCUUAGCGUCCGUAUGCUCGUUUCAUGGGUUGAAUUAGGCAUACGAAGUUCAUUCCUAGUCUAAGAUCAGACCUAAUCGAGGGUUGCGGCAGUAGGAUCGAUAGUACGUAGGGGGACCAAGUUGGUCCUCGACUUACGCAUUCUGCCUCUCCAACCGGUUGAGCACCCGUACGCUCGUUUCAUGGGUUGGCUUAGGCAUACGUAGUUCAUUCCAUGUCUAAGAAUAUGAAGUUCAUUCCCAGUCUAAGAUUGGAUCAGACCGAAGGAUGCAAUAGCAGGAUCAGUAGCACAUAGGGAGGAUCGGACUGAUCCCCAGCUUGUGCAUUCUGCCUCUUUGAUCGGCCUUUCUGGUCGGCUGAGCGUAAACACGCUUGUUUUGUGGGUUGGCUUAGGCAUACGGAGUUCAUUCCAUGUCUAAGCAUACAGAGUUCAUUCCCAGUCUAAGAUCAGAUCGAACCAAGGGUUAUGACAGUAGGAUCAACAGCACGCAUGGGGGGACCGGGCUGAUCCCCUUAUUGCGCAUUCUACCUCUCCGGCCCACUGAGUGCCUGCAUGCUUGUUUCGUGGGUUGGCUUAGGCAUACAGAGUUCAUUCCAUGUCUAAGCCCCAGCCGGACCGAGGGUUGUGGCAGCAGGACUGGCAGCGGGAUUGACAGCACGCAAAGGGGGACCAGGCUGAUCCUCAGCUUGUGCAUUAUGCCUCUCCGAUCGGCUGAGCACCUGUAUCGAGGGUUGUGGUAGCAUGAUCAACAGCACGUAGGGGGGACCAGGCUGAUCCCCGGCUUGUGCAUUCUGCUUCUCCGACCGGCUGAGCACCAGUACGCCCGUUUCGUGGGUUAGCUUAGGCAUAGGGAGUUCAUUCUAUGUCUAAGCCCCAACCGAAUCGAGGAUUGUGGCAGUGGGACUGGCAGCACGCAGAGGGGGACCGAGCUGAUCCCUGGCUUGCGUAUUAUGCCUUUCCGACCGGCUUAACGCCCGAACGCUCAUUUCAUGGGUUGACUUAGGCAUACGGAGUUCAUUCCCAGUCUAAGAUUGGAUCAGAUCGUGGGUUGCAGCAGCAAGAUCGACAGCACGCAGGGGGGACUGGGACGAUCCUUGGCUUACGCAUUCUACCUCUCUGACUGACUGAGCGCCCGUUCGCUCGUUCCAUGGGUUGGCUUAGGCAUACGGAGUUCAUUCCAUGUCUAAGCAUACGGAGUUCAUUCCUAGUCUAAGAUCAGACCGGACCGAGGGUUGCGACAGUAGGACUAGCAGCAGGAUCAGUAGCAUGCAGUGAGGGAUCGGGCCGAUCCCCAACUUGCGCAUUCCGCCUCUUCGGCCGGCUGAGCGCCCGCAUGCUCGUUUCGUGGGUUGGCUUAGGCAUACAGAGUUCAUUCCAUGUCUAAGCCCCAGUCGGAUUGAGGGUUGUGGCAGUAGGACCAGCAGUGGGAUCGACAAGACGCAGAGGGGGAUCAGGCUGAUCCUCGACUUGCACAUAUGCCUCUCCGAUCGAUUGAGCACCCGCACACUCAUUUCGUGGGUUGACUUAGGCAUACAGAGUUCAUCCCCAGUUUAAGCAUACGGAGUUAAAUCUCAGUCUAAGAUCAGACCGGGCCGAUCCCUGGCUUGCACAUUCUGUCUUUCCGGUCGGCUGAGCGCCCGCACGCCCGUUUCAUGGGUUGGCUUAGGCAUAGGGAGUUCAUUUCGUGUCUAAGCCCCAGUCAGACCAAGUGUUGAGGCAGUGGGAUCGGUAGCACGCAGAGGGGGAUCGAGCCGAUCCCCGGCUUGCGCAUUAUGCCUCUUCGACCGGCUCAGUGUCCGAACGCUCAUUUCAUGGGUUGACUUAGGCAUACGGAGUUCAUUCCCAGUCUAAGAUCGGACUGGACUGAGGGUUGCGGUAGCAGGACCAGCAGCAGGAUCUACAGCACGCAGGGGGAUUGGGUUGAUCCCUGACUUACGCAUUCUGCCUCUCCGGUCAGCCUCUUCAGCCUACUGAGCGCCCGCACGCUCGUUUCAUGGGUUGACUUAGGCAUACGGAGUUCAUCCCCAGUCUAAGCAUACGGAGUUCAUUUCCAGUCUAAGAUCGGAUCGGACUGAGGGUUGCAGCAGCAAGACCAGCAGCAGGAUCGGCAGCACACAAGGGGGACAAGGUCGAUCCCCAACUUGCGCAUUCUGCCUCUCCAGUCGGCUGAGUGCCUGCAUGCUCGUUUCAUGGGUUGGCUUAGGCAUACGGAGUUCAUUCCAUGUCUAAGCAUACGGAGUUCAUUCCCAAUCUAAGAUUUUGAGCCACGGUGCACAUGCUAGGCUCGGGCAUGUGCUGGUGCCACCUUUUUUUCACUCGGGGCACCAUCACCGGAGAGCCUAACCGGUAGCAUUGGGGGUUCCGAUGAUUGGGGGGGCUGGAGGGUGUGCACACAUGAUGUGCGAUGGGUGCUAGUACUUGUGUCACGAGCUCCGACCUUAGACUAAAAAAUCGUGCGGCCUUAGGCUUGGAAUCUCUUCGUUUUUGCCUAAGUCAGCCUAAAACACAAGCGUGCAGGCACUAGAACAACGGGAAGGGCUGAUUUUGCAAGUUAAAGAAAAACAGGAUAAGAAGGUAAAAUUCUGGAAAUGCUCUUGUAUUCACUGAAACAGAAGUGUUUGAUGGUGUACAAAUAAGGGAGGAGCAGCCCUCUAUUUAUAGUUGAGGCUCCAGCUUACACUUAAUGGUAAUAUCCCUAGAAUAAAGGCUAAAAUCAUGGGAUUAUACAGAUUACAAUCAAUCAAGACCUCCUUCUCAUAUGAGGCCCUUCUCAUCCUCAUGGAACGGCUUGAGCAUGCUCACAUGGAACAUCGAGUGUACCCUCAGCUUGGGUGGCAUAUCCAACUUGUAGGCAACCUUGCCUACCCUCUUGACUACUCGAAAAGGUCUCUCAUACCUUCGGACUAGGCCUUUGUGCAGUUCCCUAUGGUGCACAAUGGGAUGCAGCUUCACCAACACCAAGUCUCCAACCUGGAACUGCACGUCCUUCCUAUUCUGGUCUGCCCACUUCUUCGACCUCUUGGCUGCCUGGUGUAGACAAACUCUGGCCAAGUCAGUUUGCUCCUGCCAUGCCUUGGCAAACUUGUAUACUACUGGAUUCGGCCCUGUAUAACCUGCAGCAAUCGAACCGGGUGUUAGUGGUUGUUACCCUGUCACAACCUCAAAUGGGCUCUGGUUCGUUGCCUCGCUCCUUUGUAAGUUGUAGGAAAACUAUGCAAUAUCUAGCAGCUUUGGCCAGUCCCUUUGUGUGGCACUCACAUAGUGCCUGAGGUAGACUUCCAAUAGUCCAUUCACUCAUUCUGUCUACCUAUCGGUCUGCGGAUGCAUACUGGUGGAAAAGUUCAAGUCUGACCCCAACAACUUGAACAACUCAGUCCAGAACUUGCCCGUGAAAUGCCCGUCCCGAUCAAUAACAAUGGUCCUCGGCACUCCCCAGUACUUAACCAUGUUCUUCAAGAACAAUCGAGCUGCCUCUUCGGCUGGGCACUCCUUGGUUGCUGGAAUGAAGAUUCCAUACUUGGAAAACCUGUCCACCACUACCAUGAUGCUUCCAAACCCUUCUGCUUUGGGUAGACAGACUAUAAAUUCUAGAGAAACACUCUCCCAUGGUCAUUUUGGCACUGGCAAUGGCUCCAAGAGACUACCUGGUUUCUUGAGCUCCACCUUGUCCUGUUGGUACACAAGACAAGUUUUCACAUAGGCCUCCACAUCGUCCCUCAUGUCCGGCUAGUAGUAUCGGUCCUCGAUCAACGCCAAGGUACGGCUCACUCUGGGGUGUCCAGCCUACCUUGAAUCAUGGCAUUUUUACAAAACUUCCUUGCGGAGCUUCUCGUGCUGUGGCACAAAUAGUCUACUUCCCUUGGUGUACAGCAAGCCAUCCUGCAACCAAAACCGCCUAGUCUUACCUUGCUGGGCGUACUCCAUCAAAGCCUUGGCUGUAGGAUCAUGCGCAAGUCCCUCCUUGAUGCGCGGCACCAGUGACCCCUCUAGUUGGCUAAUGGCAGCAAGGUUAGCCUUCCUGCUCAGGAUGUCUGCCACUAGGUUCACCCGCCCCGGCUUGUACUCCAUAUGGAAAUCAAAUUCUGUAAGAAAAUCUUGCCAUCUCGCCUGCUUGGGGGAUAGCUUCUUCUGUAUCUGGAAGUAGCUGGUCGUCACAUUGUCUAUCCUAACCAUGAACCUCGACCCCAAUAGGUAAUGGCACCAAGUGCGCAAGUAGUGCACCAUUGCAGUCAUCUCCUUCUCUUGGAUUGUGUACUUACGCUCAGUCUCAUUCAGCUUCCUACUCUCGAACGCGACUGGACGUCCCUCCUACAUCAACACGCCCUCUAUGGCAAAGUCUGAUGCAUCCGUAUGCACCUCAUACGGCUUGGCAUGGUCUGGCAAGGCCAAGAUUGGCUCCUCGGUCACAGCCCGCUUCAACCUGUCAAAGGCUUCCUGGCACCCUGUGCUCCACUCUCAUGCUUUCCCUUUCUUGAGCAAGUCAAUCAAUGGCGUGGCUAUUGCUGAGUGACCUUUGAUGAAGCGCCUGUAGUAGUUGACCAGCCCAAGGAAUGAUCUCAACUUAGUGACCUUGGCUGGCGGUUGCCACUCUAGGAUGGCGUGUAUCUUGCCUUCAUCCAUGCGUAUCCUGCCACUUCCCAUUAUGUGGCCAAGGAACGGGAUCUCCUGCUAGGUGAAUGAGCACUUCUCCCUCUUGACAAAUAGCUUGUGCACCCGCAACACCUCGAACACCUGUCUCAAGUGGUCUACAUGCUCUCCCAAAGUCUGGCUGUAGAUCACAAUGUCAUCCAAAUAAACCACAACAAACCGAUCAAGGAAUGACUAAAGUACCUUGUUCAUAAGGGUGCAGAAUGUUGCUGGGGCAUUCGUGAGUCCGAAAGGCAUCACCAAGAACUCAUACGAACCAUACCAAGUGACACAUGCUGUCUUUGGCUCAUCUCCCUCCGUGAUCCUGACUUGAUAGUAGCCUGACCUCAAAUCCAGCUUAGUGAACCACCUUGCGCUCCCAAGUUGAUUGAACAAGUCCGUAAUGAGUGGGAUGGGGUACUUGUUCUUGAUGGUCAGCUUGUUCAAAGCACGGUAGUCUAUGCACAGUCACAACGACCCAUCAUGCUUGUGCUGAAAUAGAACCGGUGCACCAUAGGCUACCUUCGAUGGCCUGAUGAAGCCAACAUCAACUAACUCUUUGAGCUGCUUCCUCAACUCCUCCAACUCUGGUGGAGACAUUCGGUAAGGGGCUCUAGUUGGUGGCUUGGCCUCAGACACCAGCUCGAUCUUGUGGUCCACCUCCCUCUUAGGUGGUAGCUUGCUAGGUAACUUUGAGGGCAUCACAUCACUAAAGGUCUUCAGCACCUUUAGCACCUCCAAGGGUGACUCGAUCUCCUUCUCCCUUGGCUUAUCAUAUUUCAGGGCUGCCAAAAAGGUGUCUUCCUAUCUGCUUACCACCUUGGUAAAUUGGAUGGCUGACACCACCCGUGACCCAACUCCAGACCCUCUCCUCAAUGGCACUAGGCAUUGGCACCAUGCAUCCAAGAUGCAAACACAAUCGACAAAAGGCACAAGGAGGGCAUUAAUCCAAACAAGGAAAUCUAACCCAAUCACAAACUCAUAGUCGUCAAGGGGUAUUACUUCAAUGGUCUCCUUGCCUUUCCAGUCUCCAAGCUGUAACUCCACUCCCCGCGCUACUCUAAUGGUUGGAACUUCCUUGAAGUUCACCAUUUUGAUGGUACCAGUCCUUUUCUACACCUUUAGUCCGAGCUUCCGGGCUCUAUCACCUGAAAUAAAAAGAUGUGAGGCACCUGUGUCCAGCAGUGUGCUCACCUUCUGACCCACAACCAUCAAAUCCGUAAACAUCAAGCCCUUUGGCUUGCGGCUCCCCUUACUCUGGACAGCAUUGAGCACCAACGACCCAAGCUUUGUUGCCCUUGACUCUGGCUCCUCGUCAGACUCCUUGUCUAUAGUAGCCAGCUUGCCCUUCUACGGGUAAUUACGUGUUAUGUGGCUCCCUCCACAUAGGUAGCAUGCUAGUGGCUCUCGGUCCCCUUUUGCUUUCCACUUAUCUGCUGGUGGCUUCCUCUCGCCAUCCUUGGUUGAACGGUCUUGGUCUCCAUCCUUGGACUCCCGGUCACAGUCCUUCCCCUUGGACUGCUUCUUUUGGUCCCUAUCGUCCCUACCCUUACCCUUGGGCUUGGUAGACUCGAACUUGUUCAGAGGCUUGAACUCUAUCAAGGCCUCGGCAGUAGUCAUGGCUUUAGCCAAGUCAUGAACUCCUCUCUUUUGUAGCUCAUGCUUCACCCACGGCUUCAGCCCAUCCAUGAAAGCAAAUAAGGCAUCCUUCUCACCUAGAUCUGAGAUCUGUAGCAUCAGUUCAGAGAAUUUUUGGACAUACUCCCUUAUGUCCCCUUGCUGGCUCAGCUUGCGUAACUUUGCCCGUGCCUUAUCAUCGGCAUACUCCGGGUAAAAUUGUUCUCUGAACUCUUUUUGGAACUCUGGCCAGGUUCCAAUCUUGGCGCUCCCAUGCCUGACAUCAUCACACCUGUGCCUCUACCACAAUAAGGCUACAUCAGUGAGAUACAUAGCAGCGGUGCUUACCUUUAUCGCCUCGUCUUGCAUGCCCAUGGCCUGAAAGUACUACUCCAUACCCCAAAGGUAGUUAUCUACUUCCUUGGCCGCCCUAGUCCCCUUGAACUCCUUAGGCUUGGGGACAUCCAAUCUGGACUUGGACACUCCAGCAAACAUGCCAUUCCCAAUGGCAGUCUUGCAAGCAACGAGCUCACUGGUAAGCUCCUCCAUCCGCUGGUGCAUGGCCUCCAUGACAUCGCGCAAGGUCAGCACUUCAGCCUCCAAGGUCUGAUUCUUUUGGGUGAACACAUCCAAGCCUUUGCUGAGAGCAGCUUACAGCUCACUUUGGAUCUCCUCCCCCAUGGAGUCUAGCGAUGCAAUGUGAGUCUCUACCCCCUCAAGCUUCUCCCCUAUGUCACCCAUGGUCACCUCCACCUUGGCCAGCCUACCAUCCAUGGUAGACCAGAUAUCUCUAGAACUGGCUUUCCUCCCUCUUUCACGCCCAUGCUCCUGGGCCUCUGGUUGUUGGUUAGCAGCGUCAAUUUGGGAUGCCAUCUUCUCUAACCUACACAACACAAACAUGCAGAAUCGAACUUGCUCUGAUACCAACUGUCACGGGCUCCGACCAUAGACUCAGAAACCGUGCAGACUUAGGCUUGGAAUCUCCUCCUUUAUGCCUAAGUCAGCCUAAAACACAAGCGUACAGGUACUAGAACAACAGGAAGGGCUGAUUACGCAAGUUAAAGAGAAACAGGAUAAGAAGGCAGAAUUCUGGAAAUGCUCUUGUAUUCACUGAAACAGAAGUGUUUGAUGGUGUACAAAUGAGGGAGGAGCAGCCCUCUAUUUAUAGUUGAAGCUCCAGCUUACACUUAAUGGCAAUAUCCCUAGAAUAAAGGCUAAGAUCAUGGGAUUAUACAGAUUAUAAUCAAUCAGGAUGCUAACUCCUGAUUUUAGGGUCAACCAAAUCUGCCAGGAUGCUGUUGCUGAUCCUGCUUGCUUCCAGAAGCUUCCCUCGCGUGUCCAGCACCUUGGGCCCUUCUGGAUGUAGUGCGGGCAGCAUCUAUGCCAGGCCUUGGUCUCACGGGCUGGCCUGCAAGUUGGGCGGGCGUUCUGAACUCGUUUGCUAGGCUUUGCGCGCAGAUACCCGCCAGCACGCCUGGUCUACGGGCCUCAACCUCUGGCUCGCCUGCUGGUGCACCUGUUGUGCCUGGUGCGCCCGCCCAGUGUGUGACACUUGGCCCUUAUAUUGGUCCCCUAUCCCUCAUCAAACCUCGAGAACUCACACCCCCUUAAAGAGCAUUUGAGAUUUUAUAACUUUGCUGCAAGUAGCCAUUAAAGUGUCUAAAAUGGGGACACUUUUUUCAAACGGUCACAAAAUCUUCUCCACUUCGAGUUUUUAGCUGAAUUUUUUUUUGCAUGCCAACAAAAAUACAAGGAUCCCCUCUACCAAAUUUGGGGACAAAAAGCUUUCUAAAAAAAGUUUAAAAAAUCCCGAACCGUAAAAUGUUUCGAAAAUCAUGAAAAAUAGAAAACGGGUCGUCUUGCCAUGAAACUUCACAUGAAGGAUUAGGGGACCAUUGUAUGAAUUUACAAGCCAUAAAAAUGGCAUUGGCAUGGCAGAAAUAUGAAGAUGUGCUUGAACCCACCUACCACCCGUUCGAUCCCCGGCUUGCGCAUCCUGCCUUUCUAGUCGACUGAGCGCCCGCACGCUCGUUUCGUGGGUUGACUUAGGCAUAUGGAGCUCAUCCCCAGUCGAAGCAUACAGAGUUCAUUCCCAGUCUAAGAUCGGACCAGAUUGAGGGUUGCGGUAGCAGGAUCGGCAGCACGCAGGGGGGACCGGGCCAAUCCCCUGCUUGUGCAUUCUGCCUCUCUGACCUACUGAGCGCCUGCACGCCCGUUUCGUGGGUUGGCUUAGGCAUAGGGAGUUCAUUCCAUGUCUAAGCCCCAACCAGACCGAUGGUUCUGGCAGCGGGACCGACAGCACGCAGAGGGGGACCGGGUCGAUCCUCGGCUUGCUCAUUAUUCCUCUCCGACCGGCUCAGCGCCCGCACACUCAUUUCAUGGUUGACUUUGGCAUACGGAGUUUAGUCCCAGUCUAAGCUCGGAUCGGAUCAAGGGUUACGGUAGCAGGACCAGCAGCAGGAUUGGCAACAUGCAGGGGGGACCGGGUCGAUCCCUGGCUUGCGCAUUCUACCUCUUCGCCCGGCUGAGCGCCUGCAUGCUCGUUUCAUGGGUUGGCUUAGGCAUACGGAGUUCAUUCCAUGUCUAAGCCCUAGCCGGACUGAGGGUUGUGGCAGCAAGACCGGCAGUGGGAUUGGCAGCAUGCAGAGGGGGACCGGGCUGAUCCUCGGCUUGCACGUUAUGCCUCUCCGGCCGGCUGAGUGCCCGCACGCUCGUUUCAUGGGUUGACUUAGGCAUGCGGAGUUCAUUCCAUGUCUAAGCAUAUGGAGUUCAUUCCCAGUCUAAGAUUUUGAGCCAUGGUGCACAUGCUGGGCUCAGGCAUGUGCUGGUGCCACAUUUUUUUUGCCCGGGGCACCAUCGCCGGAGCAUCACUGGAGAGCCUAACCGGCGGUAUUGGGGGUUCCGACGAUUGGGGGGGCCGGGGGGUGUGCGCACAUGAUAUACGAUGGGUGCUGGUACUUGGCCCUUAUAUUGGCCCCCUAUCCCUCAUCAUACCUCGAGAACUCACACCCCCUUAAAGAGCAUUUGAGAUUUUAUAGGUUUGCUGCCAGUAGCCAUUAAAGUAUCUGAAAUGGGAACACUUUUUUCAAACGGUCAUAAAAUCUUCUCCACUUCGAGUUUUUAGCUGAAUUUUUUUGUGCAUGCCAAAAAAAUACAAGGAUCACCUCUACCAAAUUUGGGGACAAAACUCUUUCUAAAAAAAUUUUAAAAAAUCCCGAACCGCAAAAAGUUUUGAAAAUCAUGAAAAAUAGAAAACGGGUUGUCUUGCCAUGAAACUUCACAUGAAGGCUUAGGGGACCAUUGUAUGAAUUUAAAAGCCAUAAAAAUGGUAUUGGCAUGGCAAAAAUAUGAAGAUGUGCUUGAACCCACCUACCACCCGUUCGAUCCCCGGCUUGCGCAUCCUGCCUCUCUAGUCGGCUGAGCGCCCGCACGCUCGUUUCGUGGGUUGACUUAGGCAUAUGGAGCUCAUCCCCAGUCGAAGCAUACAGAGUUCAUUCCCAAUCUAAGAUCGAACUAGAUUGAGGGUUGCGGUAGCAGGAUCGGCAGCACGCAGGGGGGACCAGGCCAAUCCCCUGCUUGUGCAUUCUGCCUCUCCGACCGACUGAGUGCCUGCACGCCCGUUUCGUGGGUUGGCUUAGGCAUAGGGAGUUCAUUCCAUGUCUAAGCCCCUACCAGACUGAUGGUUCUGGCAGUGGGACCGGCAGCACGCAGAGGGGGACCGGGUCGAUCCUCGGCUUGCACAUUAUUCCUCUUCGACCGGCUCAGCGCCCGCACACUCAUUUCGUGGGUUGACUUUGGAAUACGGAGUUCAUUCCCAGUCUAAGAUCGGAUCGGAUCAAGGGUUACGACAGCAGGACCAGCAGCAGGAUCGAACAGCACGCAGGGGGGACCGAGCCGAUCCCUGACUUGCGCAUUCUGCCUCUUCGCCCGGCUGAGCGCCCGCACGCUCGUUUUGUGGGUUGGCUUUGGCAUACGGAGUUCAUUCCAUGUCUAAGCCCUAGCUGGACGAGGGUUGUGGCAGCAAGACCAGCAGCGGGAUUGGCAGCAUGCAGAGGGGGACCGGGCUGAUCCCCGGCUUGCGCAUUAUGCCUCUCAUACCGGCUGAGCGCCGCACGCUCGUUUCGUGGGUUGACUUAGGCAUACGGAGUUCAUUCCAUGCCUAAGCAUAUGGAGUUCAUUCCCAGUCUAAGAUUUUGAGCCAUGGUGCAGAUGCUGGGCUCGGGCAUGUGCUGGUGCCGCAUUUUUUUUUUGCCUGGGGCACCAUCGCCGGAGCAUCACUGGAGAGCCUAACCGGCGGCAUCGGGGGUUCCGGCAAUUGGGGGGGCUGGGGGGUGUGCGCACAUGAUGUGCGAUAGGUGCUGGUACUUGGCCCUUAUAUCGGCCCCCUAUCCCUCAUCAUACCUCGAGAACUCACACCCCCUUAAAGAGCAUUUGAGAUUUUAUAGGUUUGCUGCCAGUAGCCAUUAAAGUAUCUGAAAUGGGAACACUUUUUUCAAACGGUCACAAAAUCUUCUCCACUUCGAGUUUUUAGCUGAAUUUUUUUGUGCAUGCCAAAAAAAAUACAAGGAUCACCUCUACCAAAUUUAGGGACAAAAUUCUUUCUAAAAAAAUUUUAAAAAAUCCCGAACCACAAAAAGUUUCAAAAAUCAUGAAAAAUAGAAAAUGGGUCGUCUUAACAUGAAACUUCACAUCAAGGCUUAGGGGACCAUUGUAUGAAUUUACAAGCCAUAAAAAUGGCAUUGGCAUGGCAGAAAUAUGAAGAUGUGCUUGAACCCACCUACCACCCGUUCGAUCCCUGUCUUGCGCAUCCUGCCUCUCUGGUCGGCUGAGCGCCCGCACGCUCGUUUCGUGGGUUAACUUAGGCAUACAGAGUUCAUCCCCAGUCUAAGCAUAUGGAGUUCAUUCCCAGUCUAAGAUCGACCAGAGCGAGGGUUGCGGCAGCAAGAUCGACAGCUCGCAGGGGGGACCAGACCGAUCCCCGCUUGCGCAUUCUCCUCUCCGGUCGGCUGAGCGCCCGCAUGCCCGUUUCGUCGGUUGGCUUAGGCAUAGGGACUUCAUUCCAUGUCUAAGCCCCAUCCGGACCGAGGGUUGUGGCUGCGGGAUCGAAAGCACGCAGAGGGGGACCGGGCCGAUCCCCGACUUGCGCAUUAUGCCUCUUCGGUCAGCUCAGCGCCCGCACGCUCGUUUCAUGGGUUGACUUAGGCAUACGGAGUUCAUUCCCAGCCUAAGAUCGGACCGGACCGAGGGUUGCGGUAGCAGGAUCGAUAGCACGCAGGGGGAUCGAGUCGAUCCCCGGCUUGCGCAUUCUGCCUCUACGGUCGGCUGAGCACCCGCACGCUCGUUUCAUGGGUAGGCUUUGGCAUACAGAGUUCAUUCCAUGUCUAAGCCCCAGUCGGACCGAGGGUUGUGGUAGUAGGACUGACAGCGGGAUCGGCAGCACGCAGAGGGGGACUGGGCUAAUCCCCGGCUUGCGCAUUAUGCCUCUUCGGUUGACCUCUCCGACUGGCUGAACGCCCGCACGCUCAUUUUGUGGGUUGACUUAGGCAUACGGAGUUCAUCCCUAGUCUAAGCAUACAGAGUUCAUUUGCAGUCUAAGAUCGGACUGGACCGAGGGCUGCGGUAGUAGGAUCGAUAGCACGCAGGGGGGACCGGGCCGAUCCCCGACUUGGACAUUCUGCCUCUCCGUCUGACUGAGCACCCACACGCCCCGUUUCGUGGGUUGGCUUAGGCAUAGGGAGUUCAUUCCAUGUCUAAGCCCAGCCAGACCGAGGGUUGUGGCAGUGGGACCGACAGCACGCAAAGGGGGACAGAGCCGAUCCCCGGCCUGCGCAUUAUGCCUAUUCGAUCGGCUCAGCGCCCGCACGCUCAUUUCGUGGGUUAACUUAUGCAUACGAGUUCAUUCCUAGUCUAAGAUCGAAACGGACCGUGGGUUGCAGUAGCAGGAUCGACAGCACACAGGGGGGAUCGGGCGAUCCUCGGCUUACGCAUUCUGCCUCUUCGGUCGGUUGAGCGCCCGCACGUUCGUUUCGUGGGUUGGCUUAGGGAUACAGAGUUCAUUCCAUGUCUAAGCAUACGGAGUUCAUUCCUAGUCUAAGAUUUUGAGCCACGGUGCACAUGCUAGGGUCGAGCAUGUGCUGGUGCCGUAUUUUUUUCGCUCGGGGCACCAUCGUCGGAGCAUCGUCGGAGAGGCUAACCGACGGCAAUGGGGGUUCCGGUGAUUGGGGGGGCCGGGGGGUGUGCACACAUGAUGUGCGAUGGGUGCUGGUACUUGGCCCUUAUAUUGGCCCCCUAUCCCUCAUCAAACCUCGAGAACUCACACCCCCUUAAAGAGCAUUUGAGAUUUUAUAGAUUUGCUGCCAGUAGCCAUUAAAGUGUCUGAAAUGGGGAUACUUUUUUCAAACGGUCACAAAAUCUUCUCCACUUCAAGUUUUUUUAUGCCAACAAAAAUACAAGGAUCACCUCUACCAAAUUUGGGGACAAACCUCUUUCUAAAAAAAUUUUAAAAAAUCUCAAACCGUAAAAAGUUUCAAAAAUCGUGAAAAAUAGAAAAUGGGUCGUCUUGCCACGAAACUUCACAUGAAGGCUUAGGGACCAUUGUAUGAAUUUACAAGCCAUAAAAAUGGCAUUGGCAUGGCAGAAAUAUGAAGAUGUGCUUGAACCCACCUACCACCCGUUCGAUCCUCAGCUUGUGCGUCCUGCCUCUCUGGUCGGCUGAGUGCCCACACGCUCGUUUUGUGGGUUGACUUAGGCAUACGGAGUUCAUCCCCCGUCUAAGCAUACGGAGUUCAUCCCCAGUCUAAGCAUACGGAGUUCAUUCCCAAUCUAAGAUCGGACCGGACUGAGGGUUGCGACAGCAGGAUCGGUAGCACACAGGGGGGAUCGAGCCGAUCCCUGGCUUGCGCAUUCUGCCUCUCCGGUCGGCUGAGCGCCUGCACGCCCGUUUCGUGGGUUGGCUUAGGCAUAGGGAGUUCAUUCCAUGUCUAAGCCCCAGUCGGAUCGAGGGUUGUGGCAGCGGGACCGACAGCACGUAGAGGGUGACCAGGCUGAUCCUCGGCUUGCGCAUUAUGCCUCUCUAGUUGGCUCAACGCCCGCACGCUCAUUUCAUGGGUUGACUUAGGCAUACGGAGUUCAUUCCCAGUCUAAGAUCGGACCAAACCGAGGGUUGCGAUAGUAGGAUCGACGGUACAUAGGGGGGACCGGGCCGAUCCCCGGCUUACGCAUUCUUUCUCUGCGGUCGACUGAGCGCCCGCACGCUCGUUUCAUGGGUUGGCUUAGGCUUACGGAGUUCAUUCCAUGUCUAAGCAUAUGGAGUUCAUUCCCAGUCUAAGAUCGGAUCAGAUCGAGGGUUACGAUAGUAGGACCAACAGCAGGAUUGACAGCACGCAGGGGUGGACUAGGCCGAUCCCCGGAUUGUGCAUUCUGCCUCUUUGACCGGCUGAGCACCCGCACACUCGUUUUGUGGGUUGGCUUAGGCAUACAGAGUUCAUUCCAUCUCUAAACCCCAGCCGGAUCAAAGGUUGUGGUAGCAGGAUCGACAGCGGGAUCGACAGCACGUAGAGAGGAAUCGAGCUGAUCCCCAGCUUGCGUAUUAUGCCUCUCCGACCGACCUCUCCGGUCUACUGAUCGCCCACAUGCUUGUUUCAUGGGUUGACAUAGGCAUACGGAGUUCAUCCCCAGUCUAAGCAUACAAAGUUAAUUCCCAGUCUAAGAUCGAAUCGGAUUAAGGGUUGUGGCAGCAGGAUUGGCAGCACGCAAGGGGGACCGGGCCAAUCCCCGGCUUGUGCAUUCUGCCUCUCCGGUCGGUUGAGCGCCUGUAUGCCCGUUUCCUAGUUUGGCUUAGGCAUAGGGAGUUCAUUCCAUGUCUAAGCCCCAGCCGGACCGAGGGUUAUGGCAGCGGACCGACAGCACACAGAGGGAGAUCGGGCUGAUCCUCGGCUUGCGUAUUAUACCUCUUCGGUCGGCUCAGCGCCCAUACACUCGUUUCGUGGGUUUACUUUAUGCAUAUGGAGUUCAUUCCCAGUCUAAGAUCAGAUCGGACUGAGGAUUGCAGUAGUAGGAUCAAACAGCACAUAGGGGGGGAUCAGGCUGAUCCUGGCUUGCGCAUUCUGUCUCUCCGACCGACUGAGUGCCCGCACGCUCGUUUCGUGGGUUGGCCUUAGGCACACGGAGUUCAUUCCAUGUCUAAGCAUACGGAGUUCAUUCCCAGUCUAAGAUUUAAGCCAUGGUGCACAUAAUGGGCUCGGGCAUGUGCUAGUGUCGCAUUUUUUUCACCCGAGGCACCAUCGCCGAGCAUCGCUGGAGCAUCGUCGGAGCAUCGCUGGAGCAUCGUCGGAGCAUCGCUGGAGCAUCACCAGAGAGCCUAACCGACGGUAUUGGGGGUUCCGACGAUUGGGGGGGCCGGGGGUGUGCGCACAUGAUGUGAGAUUGGUGCUGGUACUUGGCCCUUAUAUUGGCCCCCUAUCUCUCAUCAACUCGAGAACUCAUACCCCCUUAGAGCAUUUGAGAUUUUUAUAGGUUUGCUGCCAGUAGCCAUUAAAGUGUUUGAAAUGGGGACACUUUUUUCAAACGAUCACAAAAUCUUCUCCACUUCGAGUUUUUUAGCUGAAUUGUUUUGUGCAUGCCAAGAAAAAUACAAGGAUCACCUCUACCAAAUUUGGGGACAAAACUCUCUCUAAAAAAAUUUUAAAAAAUCUCGAAUCGCAAAAAGUUUCAAAAAUCGUGAAAAAUAAAAAACGGGUCGUCUUGCCACGAAACUUCACAUGAAGGCUUAGGGGACCAUUGUAUGAAUUUACAAGCCAUAAAAAUGGCAUUGGCAUGGCAGAAAUAUGAAGAUGUGCUUGAACCCACCUACCACCCGUUCGAUCCCCGGCUUGCGCAUCCUACCUCUCUGGUCGGCUGAGCGCCCGCACGCUCGUUUCGUGGGCUGACUUAGGCAUACGGAGUUCAUCUCCAGUCUAAGCAUACAGAGUUCAUUCCCAGUCUAAGAUCAGACCGGACCGAGGUUUGUAGCAGCAGGAUCGACAGCACACAGGGGGGAUCGGGCUGAUCCCCGGCUUGCACAUUCUGCCUCUCCGAUCGGCUGAGCACCAGCAUGCCUGUUUCGUGGGUUGGCUUAGGCAUAGGGAGUUCAUUCCAUGUCUAACCCCCAGUCGAACCGAGGGUUGUGGCAGUGGGAUCGGCAGCACGCGGAGGGGGACCGAAUCGAUCCUCGGCUUGCGCAUUAUGCCUAUCCGAUCGGCUCAGUGCCCGCACGCUCGUUUCGUGGGUUGACUUAGGCAUACGGAGUUCAUUCCCAGUCUAAGAUUGGAUCGGACCGAGAGUUGCAGUAGUAAGAUCGACAGCGCGUAGGAGGGGACCAGGUCGGUCCCCAGCUUGCGCAUUCUACCUCUUAGGUCGGUUGAGGGCCCGCACGCUCGUUUCAUGGGUUGGCUUAGGCAUAUGGAGUUCCUUCCAUGCCUAAGCAUACAGAGUUCAUUCCCAGUCCAAGAUCUGACCGGACUGAGGGUUGCGGCAGUAGGACUAGCAGCAGGAUCGACAGCAUGCAGAGGGACCGGGCUGAUCCCCGGCUUGCGCAUUCUGCCUCUCCGAUCGGUUGAGCGCCCGCACGUUCGUUUCGUGGGUUGGCUUAGGCAUAUGGAGUUCAUUCCAUGUCUAAGCCCCAGCCAGACCGAGGGUUGUGGCAACCGAACUGGCAGCAGGAUCGAUAGCUCGCAGAGGGGGAUCGAGCUGAUCCCCAGCUUACGCAUUAUGCCUCUAUGACCGGCAUUUUCGGUCGGCUGAGCGCCCGCUGGCUUAGGCAUACGGAGUUCAUCCCCAGUCUAAGCAUGCAGAGUUCAUUCCCAGUCUAAGAUCAGACCGGACCGAGGGUUGCGGCAGUAGGAUCGACAGCACGUCGGGGGGACCGGGCUGAUCCCCGACUUGCGCAUUUUGCCUCUACGAUCGGGUAAGCGCCCGUACGCUAGUUUCGUGUGUUGGCUUAGGCAUACGGAGUUCAUCCCAUGUCUAAGCCCCAGCCGGAUCGAGGGUUGUGGCAGCAGGACGGCAGCGGGAUAGGUAGCAUAUAGAGGGGGACUGGGCUGAUCCCUGGCUUGCGCAUUAUGCCUCUCCGGCCGGCUGAGUGCCCGCACGCUCGUUUCGUGGGUUGACUUAGGCAAACAGAGUUCAUCCUCAGUCUAAGCAUACGGAGUUCAUUCCUAGUCUAAGAUUGGACUGGACUGAGGGUUGCGGCAGCAGGAUCGACAGCACGCAAGGGGGACCGGGCCUAUCCCCGACUUACGCAUUCUACCCCUCUGACCGGUUGAGCACCCGCACGUCCGUUUCGUGGGUUGGCUUAGGCAUACAGAGUUCAUUUCAUGUCUAAGCCCCAAUCGGACCGAGGGUUGUGGCAGCGGGACUGGUAGCACACAGAGGGGGACCAGGCCGAUCCUCGGCUUGCGCAUUAUGCCUCUUCGGCCGGCUCAGUGCCCGCACACUCAUUUCGUGGGUUGACUUAUGCAUACGGAUUUCAUUCCUAGUCUAAGAUCAGAUUGGACCAAGGGUUGAGGUAGCAGGAUCGACAGCACGCAGUGGGGGAUGGGCCGAUCCUUGGCUUGCGCAUUCUGCCUCUCCGACCAGCUAAGACCCGCACGCUCGUUUCGUGGGUUGGCUGAGGCAUACGGAGUUCAUUCCAUGUCUAACCAUACGGGGUUCAUUCCCAGUCUAAGAUUUUGAGCCACGGUGCACAUACUGGGCUUGGGCAUGAGCUGGUGCCGCAUUUUUUCCCCCGGGCGCACCAUCGUCGGAGAUCCUAACUGACGGUAUUGGGGGUUUCGGUGAUUGGGGGGCCAGGGGGUGUGCACACCUGAUGUACGAUGGGUGCUGGUACUUGGCCCUUAUAUUGGCCCCUAUCCCUUAUCAAACCUCGAGAACUCAUACCCCCUUAAAGAGCAUUUGAGAUUUUAUAGGUUUGCUGCCAGUAGCCAUUAAAUUGUCUGAAAUGGGGAUACUUUUUUCAAAGGGUCACAAAAUCUUCUCCACUUCGAGUUUUUAGUUGAAUUGUUUUGUGCAUGCCAAAAAAAAUACAAGGAUCACCUCUACCAAAUUUGGGGACAAAAAUCUAUCUAAAAAAAUUUUAAAAAAUCCAAAAUCGUAAAAAGCUUUGAAAAUCGUGAUAAAUAGAAAACGGGUCGUCUUGCCACGAAACUUCACAUGAAGGCUUAGGGGACCAUUGUAUGAAUUUACAAGCCAUAAAAAUGGCAUUGGCAUAGCAGAAAUAUGAAGAUGUGCUUGAACCCACCUACCACCCGUUCGAUCCCCGGCUUGCGCAUUCUGCCUCUCUGGCCGACUGAGCACCCGCACGCUCGUUUCGUGGGUUGGCUUAGGCAUAUGCAGUUCAUUCCAUGUCUAAGCCCCAGUCGGACCGAGGGUUGUGGUAGCAGGACUGGCAGCGGGAUCGACAGCACAUAGAGGGGGAUCGGGCUGAUCCUCGGCUUACGUGUUAUGCCUCUCUGGUCGACUGAGCACCCGCACGCUCGUUUUGUGGGUUGACUUAGGCAUACGGAGUUCAUCCCUAGUCUAAGCAUACGGAGUUCAUUCCCAGUCUAAGAUCAGAUCGGACCGAGGGUUACGGCAGUAGGAUCGGUGACACGCAGGGGGGAAUGGGUCGAUCCCCGGCUUGCGCAUUCUACCUCUCCGAUCGGCUGAACACCCGCACGCCCAUUUUGUGGGUUGGCUUAGGUAUAGGGAGUUCAUUCCGUGUCUAAGCCCCAGCCGGAUCGAGGGUUCUGGCAACGGGACUGGCAGCACGCAGAGGGGGACCGACAGCAUGCAGAGAGGGACCAGGCGGAUCCUCGGCUUGCGCAUUAUGCCUUUUCGACCGGCUCAGCGCCCGCACGUUCAUUUCGUGGGUUGACUUAUGCAUACGGAGUUCUUUCCCAUUCUAAGAUCAGACCAGACCAAGGGUUGCAGCAGCAAGAUCAACAGCACACAGGGGGGAUCGGGCUGAUCCUCGGCUUGCGCAUUCUACCUUUCCAGUCGACUGAGCACCCGCACUCUCGUUUCGUGGGUUUGGCUUAGGCAUACGGAGUUCAUUCCAUGUCUAAGCAUACGAAGUUCAUUCCCAGUCUAAGAUUUUGAGCCAUGGUGCACAUGCUGGGCUCGAGCAUGUGCUGGUGCCACAUUUUUUUCGCCCAGGGCACCAUCGUCGGAGCAUCGUCGGAGAGCCUAACCGGUGGCAUUGGGGGUUCCGGCGAUUGGGGGUCCAGGGGGUGUGCGCACAUGAUGUGUGAUGGGUGCUGGUACUUGGCCCUUAUAUUGGUCCCCUAUCUCUUAUCAAACCUUGAGAACUCACACCCCCUUAAAGAGCAUCUGAGAUUUUAUAGGUUUGCUGCCAGUAGCUAUUAAAGUGUCUGAAAUGGGGACACUUUUUUCAAAGGGUCACAAAAUCUUCUCCACUUCGAGUUUUUGGCUGAAUUUUUUUGUGCAUGCCAAAAAAAAUACAAGGAUCACCUCUACCAAUUUUGGGGACAAAACUCUUUCCAAAAAAAUUUUAAAAAAUCUUGAACCGUAAAAAGUUUCAAAAAUCGUGAAAAAUAGAAAACGGGUCGUCUUGCCACGAAACGUCAUAUGAAGGCUUAGGGGACCAUUGUAUGAAUUUACAAGCCAUAAAAAUGGCAUUGGCAUUGGCAGAAAUAUGAAGAUGUGCUUGAACCCACCUACCACCCGUUCGAUCCCCGGCUUGCGCAUUCUGCCUCUCCGGCCGGCUGAGCCCCCGCACGCUCGUUUCGUGGGUUGGCUUAGGCAUAUGGAGUUCAUUCCAUGUCUAAGCCCCAGCCGGACCAAGGGUUGUGGCAGCAGGACCGACAGUGGGAUCGACAGCACAUAGAGGGGGAUCGGGCUGAUCCCCGGCUUGCACAUUAUGCCUCUCCGGCCGGCUGAGCACCCGCACGCUUGUUUUAUGGGUUGACUUAGGCAUACGGAGUUCAUCCCCAGUCUAAGCAUACGAAGUUCAUUCCCAGUCUAAGAUCAGAUUGGAUCGAAGGUUGCGACAGUAGGAUCGAAGGCACGCAGGGGGGAACGGGCCGAUCCCCGGCUUACGCAUUCUACCUCUCCGAUCGGCUGAACACCCGCACACCCAUUUCGUGGGUUGGCUUAGGUAUAGGGAGUUCAUUCCAUGUCUAAGCCCCAGCCGGACCGAGGGUUCUGGCAGCACGCAGAGGGGGACCGACAGCAUGCGGAGGGGGACCAAGCCGAUCCCCAGCUUGCGCAUUAUGCCUUUUCGACUGGCUCAGCGCCCGCACGUUCAUUUCGUGGGUUGACUUAUGCAUACGGAGUUCUUUCCCAGUCUAAGAUCGGACCGGACCGAGGGUUGCGGCAGCAAGAUCGACAGCACGCAGGGGGGAUCGGGCUGAUCCCCGGCUUGCGCAUUCUACCUUUCCAGUCGACUGAGCACCCGCACUCUCGUUUCGUGGGUUUGGCUUAGGCAUAUGAAGAUGUGCUUGAACCAACCGACCACCCGUUCGAUCCCCGGCUUGCGCAUUCUUCCUCUCCGUUCGGCUGAGCACCCGCACGCCCGUUUCAUGGGUUGGCUUAGGCAUAGGGAGUUCAUUCCAUGCCUAACCCCAGCCAAAUCGAGAGUUGUGGCAGCGGACCGACAGCACGUAGAGGGGGACUGGACCAAUCCCCGGCUUGCGCAUUAUGCCUAUCCGACCGGCUCAACGCCCGCACACUCGUUUUGUGGGUUGACUUAGGCAUACGGAGUUCAUUCCCAAUCUAAGAUUGAACCGGACCGAGGGUUGCGGUAGUAGGAUCGACAGCACGCUGGGGGGUAUCGGACCGAUCCCCGGCUUGCGCAUUCUGCCUCUCUGGCCGACUGAGCGCCCGCAUGCUCGUUUCGUGGGUUGGCUUAGGCAUACGGAGUUCAUUCCCAAUUUAAGAUCGGAUCGGACCGAAAGUUACGGUGGUAGGUCCAGCAGUAGGAUCGGUAGCACGCAAGGGGGAUCGAGCCGAUCCUCAACUUGCGCAUUCUGCCUCUCCGACCAGCUGAGCACCCGUACGCUCAUUUCGUGGUUGGCUUAGGCAUACAGAGUUCAUUCCAUGUCUAAGCCCCGGUUGGAUCGAAGGUUGUGGCAGCAGGACCGGCAGCGGGAUUGGCAGCAUGCAGAGGGGGACCGAGCUGAUCCCCGGCUUGCACAUUAUGCCUCUUCGGUUGGUUGAGCGCCCGCAUGCUCAUUUCGUGGGUCGACUUAGGCAUACGGAGUUCAUCCCCAUUCUAAGCAUAAGGAGUUCAUUCCCAGUCUAAGAUCAACCGCGACCGAGGGUUGCGGCAGCAGAUCGACAGCACGUAGGGGGACCAGGCCGAUCUUCGGCUUGCGUAUUCUGCCUCUCCG